This 2992-nucleotide long non-coding RNA is filed under the name Homo sapiens (human). RNAcentral describes it as "HSALNT0326471". The record is from RNAcentral. Lineage: Eukaryota; Metazoa; Chordata; Mammalia; Primates; Hominidae.
GGUGAGUUAUUUAGGGCAUGCUACAGUGUUCCUGGGGGCUCUUAAGCUGCUGUUUUGACCCUCUGGCUUUCUGGGAAAGAGAUCCUUAAUCCACCUGUUAUUUGAGGUGUGAUUUUCUAGGAAUGGGCUCUUUGAAACUGUAAACUGUGUUCUCUGUCCUUUUUUCCACACCAUCCACUCUUGUUAGCUGUCACAGCUUUGAUUUUCUUGGCCAACAUGGAAGUUUUCUACAUUUACUAACUGUAGCCUAGGCUAUGCUGCAAAAACAAAUAGCUGUGAAAUUAGAGCCACUUAAUUCUACUGAGGUUUAUUUCUUAUUCUUAUUCUCUGUAUCCAUCUUCAGCUGGUUGAGGCCUCUGCUCCAUUUAAUCACUUGGGGAGUCAGAUUGAAGAACCACCAUCUUGUAUGUACAUUAUCUGGAAACACUCCCUCUUUAAUCUCCAUUUCAGGGAAGGAGGGAAAAUGGGGAAUUCCAUUUGGGUCUUUUACUACCUCAGCCCAAAAGUGACACACAUUGCUUCCUCUCACAUUUCAUGGACUCACAUUAGUCAUGUAUACCUGACUGUAAGGGUUGCAGUGAAGAGGAGUGAAAGGAAUAUUUGGGGAACGUUAUCACCCAUGCUGUAUUUUUCUAUGACCCAGAAAAUGUUGCAGUUUCCGAACACUUCGUGAGGUUGAUGGGAUCUAAUUCAUUUUCUUGUCUUCCUCCUCAGUUGGUAGAAGGGUCUCUUGGAAUCCACAGAUCUAGGUAACUUCUAAAUGAGGCAUAGGUCCCACCAUGCACCUGGAUUGCAGGUAUUUUCUAUUGGAGGGUUCUUUUGGAAAUACUAUCAUUCCAGCCCAAGGCUGCUGGGACUGGCAUUUUUGGGAACAUUCCACUGUACCUCACGUCCAUUCUUGGUUCCUACUCAACAGCUAAAGCUCUUUGAUCAUCCAUCUAUUUCUGUUCUCUCAUUCCCUUGCUCUUCUACUUCUCUGUGAACCCAAGGGGACAAGGGAGACUUUUCUCUCCUCUGCAACAUAGGAAACAAACCAGUAGACAAACUCCAGCUUUUUGGUUUGAGCCUUAGGUGAAGAUUGAGCUGUGCCUGAGGCCAUCCUUCUUCCUGCAGCCUCUCAGGAGGGCUCCUCAUAAGUUCAUACCUCUUUUCCUUACAACUAGAAGCUAGGAUCAGUGAAUUAUGUAUGAUAGUAAAAAGGUUAAGGGAUUCCUACUGGAUGGUCUCCAUUUCUUUUUGGAAGAAGGUAGAGGAAUUAGAGAACUUAAGAGUAGAAAAAAUUGGAAAAGCCACUGUGAAGAGGUAUGGAGGAGGAAGAGAGAUCCCUAGUGCUGCUUUAUUUUUCAUCCUGUGCCAAAUUCUCUUUUAAAGUUCUAUUUUGCUGUGCCACCCUCUCUCUCUUCCCUCUUGCUGGUCUUUACCAAACUCUUGGUUAUUCUCCCUCCUUUUUUGAGGACUUUGGUGCCGAGUUUGAAGUCUUCCAACUAACCCUAUUAACUUCCUCUCAAUUUUACCUCUUCCUUUUUUAGCUGUGUUCCAUCAUUUGCCAAUGGCAGCUCAGCUUCUUUGUUCUUUUAUUCUUUUAUUGGACCUAUCUAGCAAAACUAUGUCUAAAGAUCUAUUCACCUAGUCCAAUCCUAUGCCCAGACUGAUAGCAUUUCUGGAGAUAGAAACUCAACAGUGGCAAUUGAUAUUCUUAAAUGCAUGAUUUCCAUCCCCAGCCAAACCCUCAUAUAUCAGACACUACAUACAUGGUAUAAAUAAUGUUAAAUAGUGGGAAACAAACACUCUCUUUCUUUGUUCAGUUCUCUCCCUAUUAUCCAUAGUAGUUCUCUAUGCUGUUUCUACUUCCCUUCUCUACACUUCUCAAAUUUCUUAUUUCUCUACCUUCUUCAAAAUGACAUUGAAAUUCAUAUAGAAGUCAGUAUCCAAAAGAGCUUGGGAAUUAGGCCAAUUGUAGAGCUAAGUCUUCUGAUAGUCUUGCUGUUUUAAAUAUUAUUGUCUAUCAGCCAUUCAUUACUACCUUUUUCCAUGCAAAGGGAACACCAGUGUUGUUCAAGAAAUCAUACCUUAGUGAAAAUGCAUGGCCCUCUCUCCAGCUCAGGAAUAAAAGCCUAUUAGUUUAAUUCAGUCAUGUGACUUGUCCCUCUGGCCUGCCUUCUCCCUCCUCCCCUAACUGAUUGAUUCAGGGCUGUCUAGGAACUUCUCUCUGGCCUCUGAAAUUCUCAAGAAUAAUAUAACCUUUUUUAAAAAAAUACUACCUUCUUCAUACAUAAUGGGUAAAGAUAAGCACUAUAUUGGAUCCUUAUUUGAAGUGUUCAGUUCCCAGCUUUCUCAGUGUAAUUCCAUUCCUCUUUAACUCCCACUUGGACAAAAGUACAUAUGAAUGAAUAAAAUUGAUGUUGUAGCAAGAAUCCAAAAUUUACUGUGCUUUAUCGAAAUGAGUAAUUCUUUCCAAAAACUUGCUGUGAUUCAAAUGAUCAUGUUAUAUCCCCAUGUUUCCACAUAGAGGCUGAGAAUAGUUAACUUGGAACCUUCUAUGGAGAAGGGAAGAGGCUGGUUAUUCCUUACAUUAGAAUACAAAGGAAGUUAAAUUACAAAGGAAGAUGACUAUGAUGUGGCAUAGAGUUUUACAAGUGAGAUAAUAAUUAUACGAUAUAGGGUAGUUCUGAUUAUCAGAGAACAAAGUUCCAACAAAUUGAGUUUAAUGAUCUAAUUGGCUUUUAUUAGUGAUUCAUGGAUUGGGCGGCUUCUCCUCUGUGAAGUAGGAAGGUGCUCUGCUGAGCUGAGCAGAGGGAGCUGGCUUUAUAGGCAGAAAAGGACUGAAUUAAGAACAAAAAGUAGAUUAAUUGUUUCAAAGUUACUUUCCCUACAGGGUAAAAACAGAGGGGAUUUCUUUAUCAUGCUGGCUCAGGUAGACUAGGCCCUUUUCUGUUGGAAUCUCCUAUUUUAUUUUGAAAAUUGGCCCAUUUUAAAAUUCAGCUUAUGUGAC